GCACUGAUGAAGAGUCCCAAACUAGGACGAAACAGCUGUCCAGUAC
Non-coding RNA from Trichobilharzia regenti, 46 nucleotides. The record is from Rfam. Lineage: Eukaryota; Metazoa; Platyhelminthes; Trematoda; Strigeidida; Schistosomatidae.